CUGGAAGCCAGUUCUUCUUCUCCAGACUCCACGUUCCUCUUCCGCAGGUUCAUCAGAGACAACGGUUCUCGCCUAAUGUUGAAACACAAGAUGCCAGCUCCAGGCCUGUUUUGGGUGACACAAGGGUGAGCAAGACAGACAAGUGAAGCCCUGUGCAACUUAUGUCCCAGUGAGGAGUGGCAGACAAUCAGCAGACAACCCAGAGCACGAUCAAGCACGUGGGGAACAAAACCAGCACGUGCAGUGAGGACCGUCCCACCAUGGCCGCUUCCCGCCUCCAGA
Lemur catta (Ring-tailed lemur) is the source of this 282-nucleotide long non-coding RNA. RefSeq lists it as uncharacterized. The transcript is spliced from 3 exons. The record is from RefSeq and is a predicted model, not a curated record. NCBI's taxonomy places the organism in Eukaryota, Metazoa, Chordata, Mammalia, Primates, Lemuridae.